GAUGAAGAACGUAGCGAAAUGCGAUAAGUAGUGUGAAUUGCAGAAUUCAGUGAAUCAUCGAAUCUUUGAACGCACAUUGCGCCCCUUGGUAUUCCGAGGGGCAUGCCUGUUCGAGCGUCAUUAUAACCCCUCAAGCUCAGCUUGGUGUUGGGGCCUGCUGCACUGGCAGCCCUUAAAAUCAGUGGCGGCGCCGUCUGGCUCUAAGCGUAGUAAUUCUUCUCGCUAUGGAGUCCUGGUGGAUGCUUGCCAUCAACCCCCAAUUUUUCUAUGGUUGACCUCGGAUCAGGUAGGGAUACCCGCUGAACUUAAGCAUAUCAAUAAGCGGAGGA
Molecule: unclassified non-coding RNA, 329 nt
Filed under: soil metagenome
Description: partial contains 5.8S ribosomal RNA, internal transcribed spacer 2, and large subunit ribosomal RNA
Rfam family: 5.8S ribosomal RNA (bases 1-120)
Source: RNAcentral